UACUUAUGAAUAAACCUUUUUAAUUUGUUUGAAAAUGUAGAUGGUACGAUACUGAAUAGGACCUUGCUACAUGUACAUAAAGAUUUAUACACUCUAUUAUUUGUCAGUUUCAAACACAAUCAACUUUUUUAUUUAAUCUUUUCCCUCCACAUUAUUUUUGGUAACCGCUUCGGAUUCAAGCUUACCCUCCAUCCUUGCUUUACAUCUUCUUGUCCAUAACCUCCAAGUAAUCAAACUUGGAAGCAAACCAAUCAAGCAUCCAAUCUGUGAAGAUCUUCUUGCUGUUGUCUACCAUAAAUUGAUUCUUUCCACCCAAUUUUGUCCUGCCCUCCAGCACUCACCCACCAAGGCAGCAACUUUUCUCCACACCUUGUCUUCAAAGUCUCGAGCUUGGAACGUGUGAAGCAUUUUCCCCAUGAUCUAUAGAGCAAGAAUCACAUUUGGAUGCAAGAUUAAUAAUGCCCACUGACUUGAUGUGUUCUUCAACACAAAAACUCCCAUUUAGGGCUUUCCACAUCAACACAGAAAUACAUUUAGGUAGAGCAUCAUUCCACACCUAGGCCGCCCUCGCAAGUUGCUCAACUCGCACCGUCACCACCUCCUAAGCAAAUUUUGCAAUAAAUAACCAAGUUUAUGUGGUUUCCAAAUCAACAAAUCAGUUCCCAUUUUUCAAGUUCCAACCUGAGAUACAAGUUCAUUAGCCAAAGUGACACCAACAAGGUCUCUCAGCCAAACCAUAUCCCAUCCAUUUUGUAAACAAAUUCAUUAAUUUUCAGCUUUGGUUCUACAACGUGGGCUCCUUGUGCACAUAGAUGGCCCCCUCUAUCCAUUUGUCAAACCAGAAGAGCAAGGACCAUCCCUUAUCUUCCAUUGACCGUGUUCAAUAAACUCAAGAUGACAAUCUCUUACUGACCUCUAGAAAUGAGUCCCAAUAAAAUUUAAAUUAGUUAUAUCCAAAAUCCCCUGUUUAGAGUGUUUUGCUCUAAAAAAUCUUGCCACAAUGAAUCUGAAGAUAUAAAAUGCCAAGCAAAAUUAAUGUGUACAACUCGUCAAACAUCAUAAAUUUUUUGUAUACCAAACUCCCCGCCAACAUAGGUUGACACAAUUUGUCCCACAAACAACAUUUUUUCGUCGUCCUCCCAAACGCAGAUUUGGGAAUACUCAACACCAAUAAUAAAUGAAAGGCUAUACUAGAAAGGACGUGACAAAGAAGCACUAACCUUUCCAACUUGUGACAGUAAAAGCAUCUUGCAACCAGCAAUUUUUUUUCCUGAAUUUUACCAACUAGAGACUCUAAAUGUCAAGUUGUCGCAGGAAAACGUAUCAACUUGAUAAUGAACAAUAAGAAUUGAAGAAGAAAGGGGUUCAAAAAGAAGAAUCUAGGGCGAGGAAAUAGUUUUA
RNAcentral lists this long non-coding RNA (1401 nucleotides) under Olea europaea subsp. europaea. Lineage: Eukaryota; Viridiplantae; Streptophyta; Magnoliopsida; Lamiales; Oleaceae. The record is from RNAcentral.